AUGCCUUACCAGGAUUUCGAGGGCUUGCCCUUGCUCCUGCAGGUGCUGGAGGAAGAGAAAAGUGGAGUUCCACAGAGUGUCCAGUCAGAAGUCCAGCUGGUGGAAUCUGGAGGAGGUGUAAAAAGGCCUGAGGAGUCCCUCCGCCUGACCUCUCAAGGCUCUGGGUUCACCUUCAGCAGCUAUGUAAUGAACUGGGUGGGACAAGCUCCUGGAAAAGGCUUGCAAUGGGUUGCAUUAGUAAGUGAAACUGCAGUUACCAUUUGGUACGCAGAUGCAGUGAGAGGGCGCUUAACCAUCUCCAGGGAUAAUGCAAACAGCCAGCUUUAUUUGCAAAUGAACAGCCUGAAAGCCGAGGACACUGCUGUGUAUUACUGUGAGGAAGUGAAUCUGAAGCCCUGCAAAAAACCUCUUUCCAGUCUUGGACACCUGCCGUUAGUCAAAAUGAAGAAAUUAGAAGCAAGGUGGUGA
This is a non-coding RNA of Hemicordylus capensis (graceful crag lizard), 468 nucleotides long. Lineage: Eukaryota; Metazoa; Chordata; Lepidosauria; Squamata; Cordylidae. The record is from the annotation of a RefSeq genome assembly.